Non-coding RNA from Pelobates cultripes (western spadefoot toad), 893 nucleotides. The record is from the annotation of a GenBank genome assembly. NCBI's taxonomy places the organism in Eukaryota, Metazoa, Chordata, Amphibia, Anura, Pelobatidae.
CCUGAACAUUUUCUGCUCAACAUGUUCCCCCCCACAACUGAGGAAAUUACAAAAGAGUUUAAUUCUUCAUAUUCUCACAGCCACAAGAACCACCAUUAUUGAAAAUUGGAAAACAAACCUGCAACCACCGAUUUACUCAGUAGUGACCUCCUUGAAACAUAGCCGACAAUAUAAAGAAAUGACCCAUAAACCCAUCAACACUUUAUCAAAAUUCAAGAAAGUUUGGGUGGCAUUGGAUACCGUGUAACAGAAUGUCCAUUAGGACUCAUCAGGGCUACCAUGUACCAACCCCUUAUUAUUCUUCCUCCCAUUAUUUUUUUAUGUCCCACCAUUCCACACUUCUGCUCUUCCUUAGCUCUGGUCUAAGCCUCUUUUACUUCUCAUUUCCUACAUCUUAUUGAUACCUACAUAUCUUCUCUCUACAUGACACAGUUAUCCUGAAUUACACACACAUUGCUUACAUGACGUGAAGGACCUGGGAGAUCUGUAUUAUGUGAUGUAUAAUUUACUGACUGAACUGUCGACUUUUAUGUUAUAUGUCACGAACGUGGGCUAUUGGCCCAGCCAAGACAGUGGGGAGAGUGUGGAAGUACAAGGGUUAAUGGGUUAUCUGUUGCUAGUCCCAGCAACCACUAAAUUAACCUCUGCAAUAUCUUCUACACUAACACCCUAGUACACACUUUACUACCACCACCAAGACUUUCAAUCCGGGCAUCUGAGGUUACCCCACACACAGUAGAUUUAUAGGAUCACAACCUUACUCUACUGAUCAGACAUAUAUAAUCAACCCUUUUGGUAACGUGCUUACCUGAGCUUUCCUCAGGAGAGUGAGCUCAUAGAGAACAAACAUUAAGUAAACAUUUAAUCUGGCAAAAAGGAUUUACAGUGCUGUG